AGCUCCAAUAGCGUAUAUUAAAGUUGUUGCAGUUAAAAAGCUCGUAGUUGGAUUUCUGUUUUGAGCGUCCGGUCCGCCUUUUUAAGGUGUGUUACUAGGAUGUUUGAGACAUUUUUUGUGAGGAUGUCCUUCUGCCAUUCAGUUAGUGGUUGGAUAGACUUGCAUCGUUUACUGUGAAAAAAUUAGAGUGUUUAAAGCAGGCGUUUGCUCAUUGAAUACAUUAGCAUGGAAUAAUAAGAUACGACCUUGGUGGUCUAUUUUGUUGGUUUGCACACCAGGGUAAUGAUUAAUAGGGACAGUUGGGGGUAUUCAUAUUUCAGCGUCAGAGGUGAAAUUCUUGGAUCGCUGAAAGAUGAGCUUAGGCGAAAGCAUUUACCAAGGAUGUUUUCA
This 390-nucleotide ribosomal RNA is filed under the name uncultured eukaryote. Its description in RNAcentral is "SSU rRNA". It matches the Rfam family "Eukaryotic small subunit ribosomal RNA", at positions 587 to 972 of the family's 1831-position model. The record is from RNAcentral.